RNAcentral lists this transfer-messenger RNA (281 nucleotides) under Paenibacillus glacialis. It matches the Rfam family "transfer-messenger RNA", at positions 82 to 374 of the family's 374-position model. From Rfam's summary of the family: Bacterial tmRNA, also known as 10Sa RNA or SsrA, is named for its dual tRNA and mRNA-like properties. Lineage: Bacteria; Bacillati; Bacillota; Bacilli; Caryophanales; Paenibacillaceae. The record is from RNAcentral.
GACAAGGGAAAAAAUGAAUUAUUUCCAUUAUUUAUCUAAGUAUGGAUAUUGCAUGUUUAUGGAUUAGAAUUAUUAUUCUCAAUCGCCCAUGUAGCGGGAUAAGAGCUCAACUUUAGUGGAAUACGCUGUCUCAUCUCCACCUGCGGUGAGCUGAAGAAGCCAAUCAGGCUGACCCAACGUAUAGCCGGUUACGGGGCGAUACGUUGGGUGACAUCAAAACUGUGACUACUCUCGUAGAAGUUUAUGUGCCGUUAUCUUCGGACAGGGGUUCGACUCCCCUU